GAAGGUCUCCCACUCAGUACGAAAUGGGAAUGUCCUCCCACUGGAAGUCUGGGGAGAACGGGGACUCUAUCAAAUAGCGCACCACUUACUUCGUACAGUAGUAAAAUCAGUCACACUACGAAAUGCUACCAAAUAAAUCACAAUUCAUUCAUAAAGCUGUGAAUAUUUGGUUUCACAAACAUAGUUUUUCUGGUUUGUGCGAAUUCGUGAAGGACAAUAUAAAACCACACCACCAAGGUCUGCACACCACCAAGGUAAAUUGGUUUGGUCUUGACAAUGCUGGGGGAUGGGUAUUGAUGCUCGAGUGCCAAAUUAACAUGAAUUGAUAAGAAAAGGUUUAAGCCAUCAGGUGCCUAGAAAAAAGAAGAGAAACACAAAAGAUAAAGUUUGUUAGACGUUGUGUUCGUGGAGUCUGAAAGGAGUGAGAGGAUAUUGGCAAACAUCACUGGGCGUAGCUGAAGAGGAUAAGCUACAGCUAGCUACACUGCAUUGCCAUUGUUGAUCCCAUUAACUGCUGAGGCAGCAGCUGCUCUUUCUGGGGUCCACAUGAAACUUAACAUAAUAACAUUUGUAGGCACAGACAGAACUACAUACUCUUUGUGUUAUGCAACAGACCAAACUCCUGUGGCCAAAAACG
Long non-coding RNA from Esox lucius (northern pike), 637 nucleotides. Lineage: Eukaryota; Metazoa; Chordata; Actinopteri; Esociformes; Esocidae. The record is from Ensembl.